Long non-coding RNA from Epinephelus fuscoguttatus (brown-marbled grouper), 662 nucleotides. RefSeq lists it as uncharacterized. The transcript is spliced from 3 exons. Lineage: Eukaryota; Metazoa; Chordata; Actinopteri; Perciformes; Serranidae. The record is from RefSeq and is a predicted model, not a curated record.
GCUAGCUUAAAUGGCGCUGCGUUUGCUUUGGCAAGAGAGAAGCUAACAUGACAAAGCAUCGUAAAAUAACUGAGUGUGUAUUGGCAGGCAGACAGUCUUCAGAGUGAGAGCUGUGCCUGUGCUGAAGUGUCCCAUUGAGUUCGCUGAAGUGGACUUAUCUCCGACCAUCCCUCCUCGCAUCUCACUUUCUCCUGGAUCCAGACAGGGCUGAGCGCCACACUCCUCACACCACAGAGGCCUCUCUCUUCUGGGCUCAGUCCCACACUCAGACCCCCUCAGCCACACAUCCUCCUUACAGUUGGCAGAGUGCUGCGUGAUACUCAAGGUCGUGGGGGCAGCAGGCCAAUCAACGCACUCCAGACAUCCCUCUCCCUAGCAACAUUUUCCAGCUCUUCCUGGGGUACCCCAAGGCGUUCCCCGGCCAGAUGAGAUAUGUAAUCCCUCCAGCGUGUUCUGGGUCUGCCCAGGGCCUCCCACCGGUGGAACGUUCCCAGAACAUCUCUAAUGGGGGCGCCCAGGAGGUAUCCCGACCAGAUGCCCGAGCCACCUCAACUGACCCCUUUCGACAUGAAGGAGCAGCGGCUCUACUUCGAGCUCCAAGCUCCUUAUCCUAUGUGUAAGGCUGAGCCUAGCCACCUCAUGGAAGCUCAUUUUGGCUGCUU